RNAcentral lists this ribosomal RNA (234 nucleotides) under Triticum aestivum (bread wheat). Its description in RNAcentral is "partial small subunit ribosomal RNA". Lineage: Eukaryota; Viridiplantae; Streptophyta; Magnoliopsida; Poales; Poaceae. The record is from RNAcentral.
AUGGCCUCCUCACCGGCACCAGGUGGACGCGGAGGAGAAGGUAGAGGGCAGGCGUUGAUCACUGGGAGCAGCCGGGCGUCCACCGGUGGUGACGCCUGCUCGAUCAAGGAGCGAGGGAGGGAGGAGAAGUCGGGAAUGAAGCCGUAUUGGUCCGGGAGCGUAUACAUAGUACUCAUAUUCUUUUGCGUAACGUUAGACAAUUACCAGAUGGUACAAGUUUCAGUUUUCAGGUAG